GAUGAACGCUGGCGGCGUGCCUAACACAUGCAAGUCGAGCGAUCUUCUUCGGAAGAGAGCGGCGGACGGGUGAGUAACGCGUGGGUAACCUGCCUCAUACACAUGGAUAACAUACCGAAAGGUAUGCUAAUACAAGAUGAUAUAAGAGAUUCGCAUGGAUUUCUUAUCAAAGCUCCGGCGGUAUGAGAUGGACCCGCGUCUGAUUAGCUAGUUGGUAAGGUAACGGCUUACCAAGGCAACGAUCAGUAGCCGACCUGAGAGGGUGAUCGGCCACAUUGGAACUGAGACACGGUCCAAACUCCCACGGGAGGCAGCAGUGGGGAAUAUUGCACAAUGGGCGAAAGCCUGAUGCAGCAACGCCGCGUGAGCGAUGAAGGCCUUCGGGUCGUAAAGCUCUGUCCUCAAGGAAGAUAAUGACGGUACUUGAGGAGGAAGCCCCGGCUAACUACGUGCCAGCAGCCGCAGUAA
RNAcentral lists this ribosomal RNA (468 nucleotides) under uncultured bacterium. RNAcentral describes it as "partial 16S ribosomal RNA". It matches the Rfam family "Bacterial small subunit ribosomal RNA", at positions 28 to 523 of the family's 1533-position model. The record is from RNAcentral.